GUAUAUGAUGAAAUAUGCACUGGGCUCUGAGGCAGUUGAAUCAUUCAACACUGCUUAAUUUGAUGGAAAUUGCAGCCUAGAAAGCUUGUCUGAUAC
Corchorus olitorius is the source of this 96-nucleotide non-coding RNA. The record is from Rfam. Lineage: Eukaryota; Viridiplantae; Streptophyta; Magnoliopsida; Malvales; Malvaceae.